This 293-nucleotide ribosomal RNA is filed under the name uncultured bacterium. RNAcentral's name for it is "partial 16S ribosomal RNA". It matches the Rfam family "Bacterial small subunit ribosomal RNA", at positions 775 to 1067 of the family's 1533-position model. The record is from RNAcentral.
GGAUUAGAUACCCUGGUAGUCCACGCCGUAAACGAUGUCUACUAGCCGUUGGGAUCCUUGAGAUCUUAGUGGCGCAGCUAACGCACUAAGUAGACCGCCUGGGGAGUACGGUCGCAAGAUUAAAACUCAAAUGAAUUGACGGGGGCCCGCACAAGCGGUGGAGCAUGUGGUUUAAUUCGAGGCAACGCGAAGAACCUUACCUACUCUUGACAUCCAGAGAACUUUUCAGAGAUGAAUUGGUGCCUUCGGGAACUCUGAGACAGGUGCUGCAUGGCUGUCGUCAGCUCGUGCCG